GACGAACGCUGGCGGCGUGCUUAACACAUGCAAGUCGAACGGAAAGGCCCUGCUUUUGUGGGGUGCUCGAGUGGCGAACGGGUGAGUAACACGUGAGUAACCUGCCCUUGACUUUGGGAUAACUUCGGGAAACUGGGGCUAAUACCGGAUAGGAGCUCCUGCUGCAUGGUGGGGGUUGGAAAGUUUCGGCGGUUGGGGAUGGACUCGCGGCUUAUCAGCUUGUUGGUGGGGUAGUGGCUUACCAAGGCUUUGACGGGUAGCCGGCCUGAGAGGGUGACCGGCCACAUUGGGACUGAGUUACGGCCCAGACUCCUACGGGAGGCAGCAGUGGGGAAUAUUGCACAAUGGGCGGAAGCCUGAUGCAGCAACGCCGCGUGCGGGAUGACGGCCUUCGGGUUGUAAACCGCUUUCGCCUGUGACGAAGCGUGAGUGACGGUAAUGGGUAAAGAAGCACCGGCUAACUACGUG
Molecule: ribosomal RNA, 468 nt
Filed under: uncultured bacterium
Lineage: Bacteria
Description: partial 16S ribosomal RNA
Rfam family: Bacterial small subunit ribosomal RNA
Source: RNAcentral